This 413-nucleotide unclassified non-coding RNA is filed under the name soil metagenome. RNAcentral's name for it is "partial contains 5.8S ribosomal RNA, internal transcribed spacer 2, and large subunit ribosomal RNA". The stretch from base 1 to 120 matches the Rfam family "5.8S ribosomal RNA", at positions 35 to 154 of the family's 154-position model. The record is from RNAcentral.
GAUGAAGAACGUAGUGAAAUGCGAUAAGUAAUGUGAAUUGCAGAAUUCAGUGAAUCAUCGAAUCUUUGAACGCACCUUGCGCUCUUUGGUAUUCCGAAGAGCAUGCUUGUUUGAGUGUCAUGAAAAUAUCAACCUUGACUUGGGUUUUGUGCUCUAGUCUCGGCUUGGAAUUGGGUGCUUGCCGCUUUUACGAGCGGCUCACCUUAAAUGUAUUAGCUGGAUCUGUCUUUGAGACUUGGUUUGACUUGGCGUAAUAAGUAUUUCGCUAAGGACAUUCUUCGGAGUGGCCUCGUUUCUAGGACGCUUGUCCGCUUUCCAAUACAAGUUCCACCUCGUGGACAUGACUUUUUAUUAUCUGGCCUCAAAUCAGGUAGGACUACCCGCUGAACUUAAGCAUAUCAAUAAGCGGAGGA